Molecule: ribosomal RNA, 1409 nt
Filed under: Kocuria rosea
Lineage: Bacteria; Bacillati; Actinomycetota; Actinomycetes; Micrococcales; Micrococcaceae
Description: bacterial SSU rRNA
Rfam family: Bacterial small subunit ribosomal RNA
Source: RNAcentral
AGUCGAACGAUGAUGCCCAGCUUGCUGGGCGGAUUAGUGGCGAACGGGUGAGUAAUACGUGAGUAACCUGCCCUUGACUCUGGGAUAAGCCUGGGAAACUGGGUCUAAUACUGGAUACUACCGUCCAUCGCAUGGUGGGUGGUGGAAAGGGUUUUACUGGUUUUGGAUGGGCUCACGGCCUAUCAGCUUGUUGGUGGGGUAAUGGCUCACCAAGGCGACGACGGGUAGCCGGCCUGAGAGGGUGACCGGCCACACUGGGACUGAGACACGGCCCAGACUCCUACGGGAGGCAGCAGUGGGGAAUAUUGCACAAUGGGCGGAAGCCUGAUGCAGCGACGCCGCGUGAGGGAUGACGGCCUUCGGGUUGUAAACCUCUUUCAGUAGGGAAGAAGCGAGAGUGACGGUACCUGCAGAAGAAGCGCCGGCUAACUACGUGCCAGCAGCCGCGGUAAUACGUAGGGCGCAAGCGUUGUCCGGAAUUAUUGGGCGUAAAGAGCUCGUAGGCGGUUUGUCGCGUCUGCUGUGAAAGCCCGGGGCUCAACCCCGGGUCUGCAGUGGGUACGGGCAGACUAGAGUGCAGUAGGGGAGACUGGAAUUCCUGGUGUAGCGGUGAAAUGCGCAGAUAUCAGGAGGAACACCGAUGGCGAAGGCAGGUCUCUGGGCUGUUACUGACGCUGAGGAGCGAAAGCAUGGGGAGCGAACAGGAUUAGAUACCCUGGUAGUCCAUGCCGUAAACGUUGGGCACUAGGUGUGGGGGACAUUCCACGUUUUCCGCGCCGUAGCUAACGCAUUAAGUGCCCCGCCUGGGGAGUACGGCCGCAAGGCUAAAACUCAAAGGAAUUGACGGGGGCCCGCACAAGCGGCGGAGCAUGCGGAUUAAUUCGAUGCAACGCGAAGAACCUUACCAAGGCUUGACAUUCACCGGACCGCCCCAGAGAUGGGGUUUCCCUUCGGGGCUGGUGGACAGGUGGUGCAUGGUUGUCGUCAGCUCGUGUCGUGAGAUGUUGGGUUAAGUCCCGCAACGAGCGCAACCCUCGUUCUAUGUUGCCAGCACGUGAUGGUGGGGACUCAUAGGAGACUGCCGGGGUCAACUCGGAGGAAGGUGGGGAUGACGUCAAAUCAUCAUGCCCCUUAUGUCUUGGGCUUCACGCAUGCUACAAUGGCCGGUACAAAGGGUUGCGAUACUGUGAGGUGGAGCUAAUCCCAAAAAGCCGGUCUCAGUUCGGAUUGAGGUCUGCAACUCGACCUCAUGAAGUCGGAGUCGCUAGUAAUCGCAGAUCAGCAACGCUGCGGUGAAUACGUUCCCGGGCCUUGUACACACCGCCCGUCAAGUCACGAAAGUUGGUAACACCCGAAGCCGGUGGCCUAACCCCUUGUGGGAGGGAGCCGUCGAAGGUGGGACUGGCGAU